GUCGCGACCGCGGCGGACGCGCGGUGAAACGCGCCGCGCAGGUCGUCCAUGGGCGUGGGCGGCCCGCGGGAGGACCCGCGCGCGAAGAAACCCCCCGCGGAGUCGUCGUCGUCGCCGCCGCCGAGAUUGUCGUCGACGUCGAUCAACAAUUCGCCAUCCUCGUCGUCGCUGCCGUACUCGCCGAAGAUCCUCCUUCGCGCCGCCCCGAGCCAUCCCCCCGCGCCGCCGUGUUCGAAUCGUCUGCCGUCGCCGUCGCCGCCGUCGGUCGGUCGGUCCGUCCCCGCGACGAACCCG
This 294-nucleotide long non-coding RNA is filed under the name Micromonas commoda. RNAcentral's name for it is "long non-coding RNA (MCOM_LNC000255)". Lineage: Eukaryota; Viridiplantae; Chlorophyta; Mamiellophyceae; Mamiellales; Mamiellaceae. The record is from RNAcentral.